AACGAUUGGUUCAGUUUCGGCUUCGCGAUUUAUUGUGCAUUGCUUUUCACAGUAGCUCACCAGGUUUAUCCACGCUUCAAACAAUAUGAUGUACCCGUACUCAUGUGACUUUCUGACAGGUUUUUCGCGGAACUUGUACAGCAAUACAAAAGAAAGACACGGACGAAUAAUCAAAAACCGGUUUAAACUAGUUUUUUUGCGGAUGCGUCAUGCCAGAUGGAAUCUUCAAGUGGUUUACUAGUAUAAACCGGUGUAGACUGGUUUUUGAAGACCAUUAUACUAAAGUAGUUUUACUGCACGAAAUUGAAGCGUGGCGGUGUCCAGCUAAAAUUAGAAAUUAGUUCAAGUCAUAAUGCAUCCUCACUUUGUAAAUACCUGAUUUGGAUGAAUAUUUUUCAGUCAUUUCUCCCAAAUAAUGCGUUUUCAAUGACUUCAACAAAACGUAGAGUGAAUUUAAGAGUAAAAAUAUGUCUACAUAAUCCAGCCUAGUACAACUAUAAAUGAGAUCAAAACACAUCAUGUUUUCAUCAUGAUACAGCUUUUGUUUCCGAAAAAAAGGAAGGGAAAAAUGUAGUUGAAAUCAGCAUACAUACUCUUUUACAAGCCAGUGUUCAGCCUUAGCUUAUUUUGUUUUUGUUUUUAUGAUAAUGAUUGCGGUACUCCUUAAAACAUCUAUUAAUUUUUGCAAAGUGUCCGUUUAAGGUACGUGUGAAAGUGAAAGGUGAUGUUUUUACUUAGCGAAAUUAUUAGUCUAUAGCUAGCCCGGCGUUAUUACUUGAUGUGAUCAAUCUAUGAUUUUGGUGGCGUUUGUACCACAGGAAGCCCAGAAGUCAAGCGUCCUAUCUCCAAGUCGCAUCAUUGCACAUUAGUAAAUUGAAACGUCAGUAUAAGUUAUUUCACCUACUUUUUUUACGGUGUUAAAUUUAUCUCUUUACAUAACUGUUACGUUUUGUAUACGUUUUUGUGACGAAAGGCCUUCUGGGAAGGCUUUCGUCACUAUGUCAUCCAUUCCACUUGAAGCAGGCGUUCCUAGCGGUUAUCAAAACAUGUGAUCGUUGUCAAGGAGAUGCCGCUGGCUAAGGGAACGAAGGCUACGAAAACGCGAUUACUGUCCUUCACGUGCUCUCUGACUGGUGUGUUGAUUCGAAGGUGAGUUGUGAAUACAACGUAUUCAAACUCUUUUGUGUCUAGAACUAGGCAAAACUAUCUAUGCAUUUGUAAAUUUAGUAUUUCUUAAGAAUUGUUCAGAUUUUUGGGCACUUUAUGUAGUUUGUGUUCCAACAAAAAUCUCGAUUGCAUCGCUUGGCUUUAUGACAUCAGUAAUUAAAGAAAUGGAGCUCAGAACCAGCUUCGGGAGACCAGAUAUCACAGCAGUGUAACUCAAAAUGUGCUUUGGCACACUAAAAAUUUCCCUCGGGAAACUAUACCGAGUUCAAGUUACAAAGAACCAUUACAGCUGUAUUCAAUACUGUGAAGUUCAUCAUCUUGAUGAUUACACUUACACAUGUCCAAGUGUCACAUACACCACUUUCUUACAGUUUUGUACAACUGAACAAACUGAAUCAGUGCUACCAGAAUGUGUUCAAUUUGACAUUCCAUCAUAUAAUGACACAGUAUAUGUGUAUUUUAUAUUUUUUUGUUAUGUUUGUUAUAGUUCACUAGUGCAGAAUACUUUUCUUGAACUAGUAAAGGAUUUUGUAAUGAUAAAACUGUUCUAGAAAAGUGUAAUAAUGCCCAAUGAAUUCCAAAAAAGCUCUAAAAUGUCCAAUUUUACAGUUUAAUUUAUUAGAGUGCUCGCACUUAAAGCGUGAAACUAAUAGUGCUAAUUACUACUAAAUAGUGUUGAUUAUACAAUAGGAAACAAAGAAAUUUGUAUAAUUUAUCACCUAUUUUGUAGUAUUUAUAUUUCACACAUUUAGUGCGAGCCUAUAAGUCCCUAUAGGUUUCUGGUUUCUGAUUAUAGCUAAAGUACAAAUAAUAAAAAAAUCAUCAAUUAAAGAAAGUUACUAAAACAAAA
Molecule: long non-coding RNA, 2017 nt
Filed under: Exaiptasia diaphana
Lineage: Eukaryota; Metazoa; Cnidaria; Anthozoa; Actiniaria; Aiptasiidae
Description: uncharacterized LOC114574711
Source: RNAcentral